CCUACGGGGGGCAGCAGUGGGGAAUAUUGGACAAUGGGGGGAACCCUGAUCCAGCCAUGCCGCGUGUGUGAAGAAGGCCCUCGGGUUGUAAAGCACUUUCAGUGAGGAAGAACGCCUGGUGGUUAAUACCCAUCAGGAAAGACAUCACUCACAGAAGAAGCACCGGCUAACUCCGUGCCAGCAGCCGCGGUAAUACGGAGGGUGCGAGCGUUAAUCGGAAUUACUGGGCGUAAAGCGCGCGUAGGUGGCUUGAUAAGCCGGUUGCGAAAGCCCCGGGCUCAACCUGGGAACGGCAUCCGGAACUGUCAAGCUAGAGUGCAGGAGAGGAAGGUAGAAUUCCCGGUGUAGCGGUGAAAUGCGUAGAGAUCGGGAGGAAUACCAGUGGCGAAGGCGGCCUUCUGGACUGACACUGACACUGAGGUGCGAAAGCGUGGGUAGCAAACAGGAUUAGAUACCCGUGUAGUC
Molecule: ribosomal RNA, 465 nt
Filed under: Vreelandella stevensii
Lineage: Bacteria; Pseudomonadati; Pseudomonadota; Gammaproteobacteria; Oceanospirillales; Halomonadaceae
Description: partial 16S ribosomal RNA
Rfam family: Bacterial small subunit ribosomal RNA
Source: RNAcentral